UGUCAGCUGUAGGUUCUUGGAAGAAAAUUGCCUGCAUUUAAUUGCAGCACCAUUUCAGCAAAGAAGAAAUACUCAACUAAGAAAUUCCAUGUGGGAUGAUGGAAGUAGCAUGUGGAUAUCCUACAACAAAGGCAUAAAGCAUCCUGAAUGUUGAUUAUACAGCAAGAUUUGCUACGGCUCAGCUCACACCAAAUUCCUUCCUGCAUUUGGCAGAUAUGAGACAGAAGCCACACCUCUUCCACUCACAGAGGUUUAAGGAUGGAAAUUGUGUGAGAGCCAAGACUCCUCCAAAAAGGACUCCAUCAACAUGAACAUAGCAAACACUGCUGCCACUCCAAACCUACCCGGUGCCUUACAUAACACUGCUGGUCACACCACUGGGCCCAUCUAGAAGAGUAUUGUCUACCCUGACUGUCAGUGUUUCUCCAGGGCUUCAACAAAAGUUAUUUCCACACCUACCUGGAGAUGCCAGGAAUUAAACCACCUGGACCUUUAUUUUGUGCUACACAAAGGAAUGUGAAUCUCUUACCUGCUAUCUCAGGUGACCUCAUGCAUCUGUUCCCCACAUAUUUCUAGUUAACACAGAAACACCUUAUUAAACUAUAGGUGGGAAAGUCAAAACAGUAGACUCUUCUUCAACAAGGAAAAUGUGUUAAAUAGAUAGAUAAGGAUCUGAACAAGACCUUUAAAUGUGUGAAGGUCUAUAGACUUCAUGUACACUGGUAGGCGUUGCACAUUUGCAAAGAUUUACACCACCCUGCCCCCUCACUUCAAAGAAAAAAUUGUUAGUUCGGGUAACAUACUGUAGGUGAAGGUGAUGUUCUA
Long non-coding RNA from Lacerta agilis (Sand lizard), 825 nucleotides. RefSeq lists it as uncharacterized. The record is from RefSeq and is a predicted model, not a curated record. NCBI's taxonomy places the organism in Eukaryota, Metazoa, Chordata, Lepidosauria, Squamata, Lacertidae. The transcript is spliced from 4 exons.